Molecule: non-coding RNA, 230 nt
Organism: Pelobates cultripes (western spadefoot toad)
Lineage: Eukaryota; Metazoa; Chordata; Amphibia; Anura; Pelobatidae
Source: the annotation of a GenBank genome assembly
GGGAGGGUGUGACUAGUGACAGAGUGAGGGAGGGAAGUGGUGACUAGUGAGAGUGAGGGAGGUGGUGAUUAGUGACAGAGGGAGGAAUGGGGUGACUAUCACUGUGUCACCCCCUUCCUCACUCUGUCACUAGUCACCCUCUCCCUCCCUCACUCGGUCACUAUUCACCCCCUCUCUCACUCUGUCACCAGUCAUUCCCUCACUCUGUCACCAGUCAUCUCUUCCUUCCC